CAGUAGCCGCGGUAAUACGAAGGGUGCAAGCGUUACUCGGAAUUACUGGGCGUAAAGCGUGCGUAGGUGGUGGUUUAAGUCCGUUGUGAAAGCCCUGGGCUCAACCUGGGAAUUGCAGUGGAUACUGGGUCACUAGAGUGUGGUAGAGGAUAGUGGAAUUUCCGGUGUAGCAGUGAAAUGCGUAGAGAUCGGAAGGAACAUCUGUGGCGAAGGCGACUAUCUGGGCCAUUACUGACACUGAGGCACGAAAGCGUGGGGAGCAAACAGGAUUAGAUACCCCGGUAGUCCCUGUCUAUUAUAC
RNAcentral lists this ribosomal RNA (301 nucleotides) under uncultured bacterium. RNAcentral describes it as "partial 16S ribosomal RNA". It matches the Rfam family "Bacterial small subunit ribosomal RNA", at positions 509 to 807 of the family's 1533-position model. The record is from RNAcentral.